AUUUAUAUAGUUUAAAAAAAAACUUUACAUUUUCAUUGUAAAAAUAAAAAAAUUUUUUUGUAAAUA
This 66-nucleotide transfer RNA is filed under the name Limenitis mimica. RNAcentral describes it as "Litinga mimica tRNA-Glu". Lineage: Eukaryota; Metazoa; Arthropoda; Insecta; Lepidoptera; Nymphalidae. The record is from RNAcentral.